GGAACUGCAUUCGAAACUGGCAGGCUUGAGUCUUGUAGAGGGGGGUAGAAUUCCAGGUGUAGCGGUGAAAUGCGUAGAGAUCUGGAGGAAUACCGGUGGCGAAGGCGGCCCCCUGGACAAAGACUGACGCUCAGGUGCGAAAGCGUGGGGAGCAAACAGGAUUAGAUACCCUGGUAGUCCACGCCGUAAACGAUGUCUACUUGGAGGUUGUGCCCUUGAGGCGUGGCUUCCGGAGCUAACGCGUUAAGUAGACCGCCUGGGGAGUACGGCCGCAAGGUUAAAACUCAAAUGAAUUGACGGGGGCCCGCACAAGCGGUGGAGCAUGUGGUUUAAUUCGAUGCAACGCGAA
This 349-nucleotide ribosomal RNA is filed under the name Salmonella enterica subsp. enterica serovar Typhimurium. RNAcentral describes it as "bacterial SSU rRNA". It matches the Rfam family "Bacterial small subunit ribosomal RNA", at positions 617 to 965 of the family's 1533-position model. The record is from RNAcentral. Lineage: Bacteria; Pseudomonadati; Pseudomonadota; Gammaproteobacteria; Enterobacterales; Enterobacteriaceae.